RNAcentral lists this ribosomal RNA (466 nucleotides) under uncultured bacterium. Its description in RNAcentral is "bacterial SSU rRNA". It matches the Rfam family "Bacterial small subunit ribosomal RNA", at positions 335 to 802 of the family's 1533-position model. The record is from RNAcentral.
ACUCCUACGGGAGGCAGCAGUGAGGAAUCUUGCGCAAUGGGCGAAAGCCUGACGCAGCAACGCCACGUGGGGAUGACGGCCUUCGGGUUGUAAACCUCUUUCGGUCUUGACGAAGGCAUCCUUGCUAGGGGUGUUGACGGUAGGGACAGAAGAAGCACCGGCUAACUACGUGCCAGCAGCCGCGGUAAUACGUAGGGUGCGAGCGUUGUCCGGAGUUACUGGGCGUAAAGAGCUCGUAGGCGGUUUGUCGCGUCGGCCGUGAAAUCCUGCUGCUUAACGGCGGGCUUGCGGUCGAUACGGGCAGACUAGAGUUCGGUAGGGGAGACCGGAAUUCCUGGUGUAGCGGUGAAAUGCGCAGAUAUCAGGAGGAACACCGGUGGCGAAGGCGGGUCUCUGGGCCGAUACUGACGCUGAGGAGCGAAAGCGUGGGGAGCGAACAGGAUUAGAUACCCUGGUAGCUACGAGU